Molecule: microRNA precursor, 63 nt
Filed under: Alligator mississippiensis (American alligator)
Lineage: Eukaryota; Metazoa; Chordata; Crocodylia; Alligatoridae
Description: Ami-Mir-181-P2c_pre stem-loop
Source: RNAcentral
AACAUUCAUUGCUGUCGGUGGGUUGUGAUGCUGAAGGGAAAACUCACGGAUCAAUGAAUGCAA